CCUACGGGAGGCUGCAGUGGGGAAUAUUGCGCAAUGGGCGAAAGCCUGACGCAGCGACGCCGCGUGAGGGAUGAAGGGCUUCGGAUCGUAAACCUCUGUCAGCAGGGAAGAAGGGGCACAGGGCUAAACAGCAGUGAAUUGACGGUACCGGCAAAGGAAGCACCGGCUAACUCCGUGCCUGCAGCCGCGGUAAUACGGAGGUUGCGAGCGUUAAUCGGAAUUACUGGGCGUAAAGCGCUCGUAGGCGGUAUGUCAAGUCAAGGGUGAAAUCCCCGCGCUCAACCUGGGAACUGCCUUUGAAACUGGCAAACUGGAGUUUUUGAGAGGAUAGUGGAAUUCCAGGUGUAGGGGU
This 352-nucleotide ribosomal RNA is filed under the name uncultured bacterium. RNAcentral describes it as "partial 16S ribosomal RNA". It matches the Rfam family "Bacterial small subunit ribosomal RNA", at positions 338 to 682 of the family's 1533-position model. The record is from RNAcentral.